Sphaerobolus stellatus SS14 is the source of this 81-nucleotide transfer RNA. It matches the Rfam family "tRNA". Rfam says of the family: Transfer RNA (tRNA) molecules are approximately 80 nucleotides in length. The record is from Rfam. NCBI's taxonomy places the organism in Eukaryota, Fungi, Basidiomycota, Agaricomycetes, Geastrales, Sphaerobolaceae.
GGCGCGAUAGUUCAGUGGUACUACUGAUAGAAUCCACGAUUGCAAAUCGUGUUGUCCCGGGUUUGAACCCCGGUUGUGUCU